This 253-nucleotide ribosomal RNA is filed under the name uncultured bacterium. RNAcentral's name for it is "partial 16S ribosomal RNA". It matches the Rfam family "Archaeal small subunit ribosomal RNA", at positions 474 to 727 of the family's 1478-position model. The record is from RNAcentral.
UACCUGCACCCCGAGUGGUCUGGACGAUUAUUGGGCCUAAAGCAUCCGUAGCCGGUUCUACAAGUCUUCCGUUAAAUCCACCUGCUUAACAGAUGGGCUGCGGAGGAUACUAUGGAGCUAGGAGGCGGGAGAGGCAAGCGGUACUUAGUGGGUAGGGGUAAAAUCCGUUGAUCCAUUGAAGACCACCAGUGGCGAAGGCGGCUUGCCAGAACGCACUCGACGGUGAGGGAUGAAAGCUGGGGGAGCAAACCGG